Molecule: ribosomal RNA, 252 nt
Filed under: uncultured bacterium
Lineage: Bacteria
Description: partial 16S ribosomal RNA
Rfam family: Bacterial small subunit ribosomal RNA
Source: RNAcentral
ACGGAGGGUGCAAGCGUUAAUCGGAAUUACUGGGCGUAAAGGGUGCGUAGGUGGUUGUAUAAGUUAUCUGUGAAAUCCCUGGGCUUAACCUAGGCAGGUCAGAUAAGACUGUAUGACUCGAGUAUGGGAGAGGGUAGUGGAAUUUCCGGUGUAGCGGUGAAAUGCGUAGAGAUCGGAAGGAACACCAGUGGCGAAGGCGGCUACCUGGCCCAAUACUGACACUGAGGCACGAAAGCGUGGGGAGCAAACAGG